GCUCUCCCCCUUUCCCCUUCUGGCAACAGCGAUAAGGGAACCUCGAGUGCCAGGUUACAAAUCUGGCUGUCGAGAUGCCUAAAAAGCAUUUCAUAGCAAGGGCCGGGCAAGACCGGUGCCAGCCGCCGCGGUAACACCGGCGGCUCGAGUGGUAACCGUUAUUAUUGGGUCUAAAGGGUCUGUAGCCGGCCGGAUAAGUCUCUUGAGAAAUCUGGCAGCUUAACUGUCAGGCGCUCAGGAGAUACUGUCUGGCUCGAGGCCGGGAGAGGUGAGAGGUACUUCAGGGGUAGGGGUGAAAUCUUGUAAUCCUUGAAGGACCACCAGUGGCGAAGGCGUCUCACCAGAACGGACCUGACGGCAAGGGGCGAAAGCUAGGGGCACGAACC
This 386-nucleotide ribosomal RNA is filed under the name uncultured prokaryote. Its description in RNAcentral is "bacterial SSU rRNA". It matches the Rfam family "Archaeal small subunit ribosomal RNA", at positions 339 to 725 of the family's 1478-position model. The record is from RNAcentral.